This 444-nucleotide ribosomal RNA is filed under the name uncultured bacterium. RNAcentral's name for it is "partial 16S ribosomal RNA". It matches the Rfam family "Bacterial small subunit ribosomal RNA", at positions 354 to 796 of the family's 1533-position model. The record is from RNAcentral.
GUAGGGAAUAUUGGGCAAUGGAUGCAAGUCUGACCCAGCCAUCCCGCGUGCCGGAAGAAGGCCCUCAGGGUUGUAACGGCUUUUGACGGUGAAGAACCGACAGGAUGCGUCCUGUUUUGACGGUAGCCGUUGAAUAAGCACCGGCUAACUCCGUGCCAGCAGCCGCGGUAAUACGGGGGGUGCGAGCGUUGUCCGGAUUUAUUGGGUUUAAAGGGUGCGUAGGCUGGAAGGUCAGUCAGCGGUGAAAAGCUAUCGCUUAACGAUAGUCUUGCCGCAGAUACUUCCUUUCUUGGAUGAGGAGGAGGCCACUGGAACGGAUGGUGUAGCGGUGAAAUGCAUAGAUAUCAUCCAGAACACCGAUUGCGAAGGCAGGUGGCUGUACCUUAAUCGACGCUGAUGCACGAAAGCAUGGGGAGCAAACAGGAUUAGAAACCCGUGUAGUCC